CAAAUUUAUUUUGCAGGUGACUGAACCGGAAUAAUACAUAUGAGAUGUGAGAGUUUCCUGACCCUCUUGUGAGACUUGCCACAGAGAAGGUGUAGGGGAUUGGCGGGAGCUUAUUUUGCCUGGUUGCAGAGCUCAAACCCUUUGCAGGAUGGGGAGCACGCAGCACUCUCCAGGAAAAGCGACCUGCUAUGUAACAUGAAGACACUCCAGCAGCCUCACGGAGGUGGAGGGAAGAGAGACCACAUGGUGAGGAACUGAGGCCUCCUACCAAAGCCAGCACCAACUUGACAGGCAUGAAAAUGGGCCACCUAAAAGCAUAUCUUCAGCCCCUGUGGACCCUUUAGAUGACUGCAGGCCCUGCUGACAUCUUGACUGAAACCUCAUGAGAGAGCUAGGACCAGAGUGACCCAGUGGUUUUCUGGCACGGCGCCCAGGCUCUAUUUGAAACAGCUGGCUCCCUUCACUUCAGCAACCAAGAAUUACAAAAUAGACCGAAAGGACACUGAAACCCUUCAAGAUGGUGAGAGUGAUGGUGGCCUCAUUGUCCCUAUGCAUACUGGUCUGUUGUGCUUUUCCUUCUUCUGAUUCCUUUACCCUUGUCUUCAAAUGUUAGUUGCUGAUACAGA
Molecule: non-coding RNA, 626 nt
Organism: Callithrix jacchus (white-tufted-ear marmoset)
Lineage: Eukaryota; Metazoa; Chordata; Mammalia; Primates; Cebidae
Source: RefSeq, a predicted model, not a curated record